Long non-coding RNA from Fukomys damarensis (Damara mole-rat), 415 nucleotides. RefSeq lists it as uncharacterized. NCBI's taxonomy places the organism in Eukaryota, Metazoa, Chordata, Mammalia, Rodentia, Bathyergidae. The transcript is spliced from 3 exons. The record is from RefSeq and is a predicted model, not a curated record.
UGGAACUAAUUGCAUCCACCCUGGCUUUGUCCGAGCCACUGGACAUCAGCCGGGUUUUCAGGAAACCCUUCAUGGGAGCGGGUUGUGUCCACCAGCAUCCCAGGGCCCAGAUUCCCAGAUGGUGUCCUUCCAGCUUGGGUAAUUAGAGAAAUGAAAAGGAGCAGCCUGGAUCCUUUCAAAGGCAUUUUAUUCACCUUAACUGUUUUCGUAUUGUUAACCUGCAUCAGUUGAUGUCAAUAAGAAUAUUCAAUUCUUCCGAAAGGUGACCAGAAAGAAACCAGCUAAAAAGCAGACCUGGGGAUCUCCAAUCCAUAAUCAAAUAUCUAGAUUGAUUGUGUCACUUGCACUUGUAUUCAUUUCAAUUGGAGUGGCUCACCCAAGGGAAUAAUAAAAAUGUGGAAUAAAACUGAUUUAU